RNAcentral lists this ribosomal RNA (425 nucleotides) under uncultured bacterium. RNAcentral describes it as "bacterial SSU rRNA". It matches the Rfam family "Bacterial small subunit ribosomal RNA", at positions 354 to 796 of the family's 1533-position model. The record is from RNAcentral.
GUGGGGAAUAUUGGACAAUGGGCGCAAGCCUGAUCCAGCAAUGCCGCGUGUGUGAAGAAGGUCUUCGGAUCGUAAAGCACUUUCGGCGGGGACGAUGAUGACGGUACCCGCAGAAGAAGCCCCGGCUAACUUCGUGCCAGCAGCCGCGGUAAUACGAAGGGGGCUAGCGUUGCUCGGAAUUACUGGGCGUAAAGGGCGCGUAGGCGGCUCUGUGAGUCAGGCGUGAAAUUCCUGGGCUUAACCUGGGGACUGCGCUUGAUACUGCAGGGCUUGAGGCCGAGAGAGGGUGGUGGAAUUCCCAGUGUAGAGGUGAAAUUCGUAGAUAUUGGGAAGAACACCGGUGGCGAAGGCGACCACCUGGCUCGGUACUGACGCUGAGGCGCGACAGCGUGGGGAGCAAACAGGAUUAGAAACCCGUGUAGUCC